This 406-nucleotide ribosomal RNA is filed under the name uncultured bacterium. RNAcentral's name for it is "partial 16S ribosomal RNA". It matches the Rfam family "Bacterial small subunit ribosomal RNA", at positions 30 to 526 of the family's 1533-position model. The record is from RNAcentral.
AUUGAACGCUGGCGGCAGGCCUAACACAUGCAAGUCGAACGAGUGGCGGACGGGCGAGCAAUGUCUGGGAAACUGCCUGACGGAGGGGGAUAACUACUGGAAACGGUAGCUAAUACCGCAUACCAUCGGAUGUGCCCAGAUGGGAUUAGCUAGUAGGUGUGGUAAAGGCUCACCUAGGCGACGAUCCCUAGCUGGUCUGAGAGGAUGACCAGCCACCCUGGAACUGAGACACGGUCCAGACUCCUACGGGAGGCAGCAGUGGGGAAUAUUGCACAAUGGGCGCAAGCCUGAUGCAGACAUGCCGCGUGUAUGAAGAAGGCCUUCGGGUUGUAAAGUACUUUCAGCGGGGAGGCGUUACCCGCAGAGGAAGCACCGGCUAACUCCGUGCCAGCAGCCGCGGUAAUUC